Molecule: long non-coding RNA, 503 nt
Organism: Parasteatoda tepidariorum (common house spider)
Lineage: Eukaryota; Metazoa; Arthropoda; Arachnida; Araneae; Theridiidae
Source: RefSeq, a predicted model, not a curated record
GAGAAUAUGUCUUUGCUGUGUCUAGUUUGAAAAAUGUUUCGCAUAGCAUAAGACAUGGAAUAAUCAAAAUCAACAAUCGCUUCUGAAAGCAAUAAUUUAUUAUAAAAUUUAUUGUCAAAUUUAUUGUAUCCUUUUAUUAUUAUCAGAAAUUCAUCUCAUUUAUCAAGCAUGUAAGGAAUCUUACAAAAUGUUUUGAAGAGCCACACGUAGCUUGGAGGUACCACAGAUAAGUAUAUAUGAAUUUUCAUCAAGAUUUUCGAGCAGAGGAUCUAUUCAAAUGAAUUGCCGCAGAUGUUUUGGUACCCACGAUCAUCAAUUCUUGAAACUCAGCCCUUUACAAAGGUUUCAGUUCCAGAUACCAUUUUCUCAUUUGCAUGCCCUCUUCUUUUAAGAAAAGUUAGAAAAAGUAAUCGAAUAUUUUUUCUUUAAAUGAUUUUUUUAAAAUAAAUUAAAAGUCGGAAAGACUGUUUCAAACAACAUUAUUCGAAAUCAGAUAGUUAUCA